Molecule: ribosomal RNA, 2797 nt
Filed under: Escherichia coli
Lineage: Bacteria; Pseudomonadati; Pseudomonadota; Gammaproteobacteria; Enterobacterales; Enterobacteriaceae
Description: partial 23S ribosomal RNA
Rfam family: Bacterial large subunit ribosomal RNA
Source: RNAcentral
GAUUUCCGAAUGGGGAAACCCAGUGUGAUUCGUCACACUAUCAUUAACUGAAUCCAUAGGUUAAUGAGGCGAACCGGGGGAACUGAAACAUCUAAGUACCCCGAGGAAAAGAAAUCAACCGAGAUUCCCCCAGUAGCGGCGAGCGAACGGGGAGGAGCCCAGAGCCUGAAUCAGUGUGUGUGUUAGUGGAAGCGUCUGGAAAGGCGCGCGAUACAGGGUGACAGCCCCGUACACAAAAAUGCACAUGCUGUGAGCUCGAUGAGUAGGGCGGGACACGUGGUAUCCUGUCUGAAUAUGGGGGGACCAUCCUCCAAGGCUAAAUACUCCUGACUGACCGAUAGUGAACCAGUACCGUGAGGGAAAGGCGAAAAGAACCCCGGCGAGGGGAGUGAAAAAGAACCUGAAACCGUGUACGUACAAGCAGUGGGAGCACAGAGCAAUCUGUGUGACUGCGUACCUUUUGUAUAAUGGGUCAGCGACUUAUAUUCUGUAGCAAGGUUAACCGAAUAGGGGAGCCGAAGGGAAACCGAGUCUUAACUGGGCGUUAAGUUGCAGGGUAUAGACCCGAAACCCGGUGAUCUAGCCAUGGGCAGGUUGAAGGUUGGGUAACACUAACUGGAGGACCGAACCGACUAAUGUUGAAAAAUUAGCGGAUGACUUGUGGCUGGGGGUGAAAGGCCAAUCAAACCGGGAGAUAGCUGGUUCUCCCCGAAAGCUAUUUAGGUAGCGCCUCGUGAAUUCAUCUCCGGGGGUAGAGCACUGUUUCGGCAAGGGGGUCAUCCCGACUUACCAACCCGAUGCAAACUGCGAAUACCGGAGAAUGUUAUCACGGGAGACACACGGCGGGUGCUAACGUCCGUCGUGAAGAGGGAAACAACCCAGACCGCCAGCUAAGGUCCCAAAGUCAUGGUUAAGUGGGAAACGAUGUGGGAAGGCCCAGACAGCCAGGAUGUUGGCUUAGAAGCAGCCAUCAUUUAAAGAAAGCGUAAUAGCUCACUGGUCGAGUCGGCCUGCGCGGAAGAUGUAACGGGGCUAAACCAUGCACCGAAGCUGCGGCAGCGACACUAUGUGUUGUUGGGUAGGGGAGCGUUCUGUAAGCCUGUGAAGGUGUGCUGUGAGGCAUGCUGGAGGUAUCAGAAGUGCGAAUGCUGACAUAAGUAACGAUAAAGCGGGUGAAAAGCCCGCUCGCCGGAAGACCAAGGGUUCCUGUCCAACGUUAAUCGGGGCAGGGUGAGUCGACCCCUAAGGCGAGGCCGAAAGGCGUAGUCGAUGGGAAACAGGUUAAUAUUCCUGUACUUGGUGUUACUGCGAAGGGGGGACGGAGAAGGCUAUGUUGGCCGGGCGACGGUUGUCCCGGUUUAAGCGUGUAGGCUGGUUUUCCAGGCAAAUCCGGAAAAUCAAGGCUGAGGCGUGAUGACGAGGCACUACGGUGCUGAAGCAACAAAUGCCCUGCUUCCAGGAAAAGCCUCUAAGCAUCAGGUAACAUCAAAUCGUACCCCAAACCGACACAGGUGGUCAGGUAGAGAAUACCAAGGCGCUUGAGAGAACUCGGGUGAAGGAACUAGGCAAAAUGGUGCCGUAACUUCGGGAGAAGGCACGCUGAUAUGUAGGUGAAGCGACUUGCUCGUGGAGCUGAAAUCAGUCGAAGAUACCAGCUGGCUGCAACUGUUUAUUAAAAACACAGCACUGUGCAAACACGAAAGUGGACGUAUACGGUGUGACGCCUGCCCGGUGCCGGAAGGUUAAUUGAUGGGGUUAGCGCAAGCGAAGCUCUUGAUCGAAGCCCCGGUAAACGGCGGCCGUAACUAUAACGGUCCUAAGGUAGCGAAAUUCCUUGUCGGGUAAGUUCCGACCUGCACGAAUGGCGUAAUGAUGGCCAGGCUGUCUCCACCCGAGACUCAGUGAAAUUGAACUCGCUGUGAAGAUGCAGUGUACCCGCGGCAAGACGGAAAGACCCCGUGAACCUUUACUAUAGCUUGACACUGAACAUUGAGCCUUGAUGUGUAGGAUAGGUGGGAGGCUUUGAAGUGUGGACGCCAGUCUGCAUGGAGCCGACCUUGAAAUACCACCCUUUAAUGUUUGAUGUUCUAACGUUGACCCGUAAUCCGGGUUGCGGACAGUGUCUGGUGGGUAGUUUGACUGGGGCGGUCUCCUCCUAAAGAGUAACGGAGGAGCACGAAGGUUGGCUAAUCCUGGUCGGACAUCAGGAGGUUAGUGCAAUGGCAUAAGCCAGCUUGACUGCGAGCGUGACGGCGCGAGCAGGUGCGAAAGCAGGUCAUAGUGAUCCGGUGGUUCUGAAUGGAAGGGCCAUCGCUCAACGGAUAAAAGGUACUCCGGGGAUAACAGGCUGAUACCGCCCAAGAGUUCAUAUCGACGGCGGUGUUUGGCACCUCGAUGUCGGCUCAUCACAUCCUGGGGCUGAAGUAGGUCCCAAGGGUAUGGCUGUUCGCCAUUUAAAGUGGUACGCGAGCUGGGUUUAGAACGUCGUGAGACAGUUCGGUCCCUAUCUGCCGUGGGCGCUGGAGAACUGAGGGGGGCUGCUCCUAGUACGAGAGGACCGGAGUGGACGCAUCACUGGUGUUCGGGUUGUCAUGCCAAUGGCACUGCCCGGUAGCUAAAUGCGGAAGAGAUAAGUGCUGAAAGCAUCUAAGCACGAAACUUGCCCCGAGAUGAGUUCUCCCUGACUCCUUGAGAGUCCUGAAGGAACGUUGAAGACGACGACGUUGAUAGGCCGGGUGUGUAAGCGCAGCGAUGCGUUGAGCUAACCGGUACUAAUGAACCGUGAGGCUUAACCUUA